UGCCGCCUUGAGGGAUGACGGCCUUUUGGGUUGUAAAACUUAUUUUAGCAGGGAAGAAGGCGAAAAGGGACGGUACCUUGCAGAAAAAAGCGCCCGGGCUAAUUACGUGCCCAGCAGCCGCGGUUAAUAUGUAGGGGGGCAAGCGUUAUCCUGGAAAUUAUUGGGCGUAAAGAGAAUCGUAAGGCGGUUUGUUCGCGUCUUGCUGUGAAAUCCCGAGGGCUCAACCUCGGGCCUGCAGUGGGUACGGGCAGACUAGAAUGCGGUAGGGGGAGAUUGGAAUUUCCUGGUGUAGCGGUGGAAUGAGCAGAUAUCAGGAGGAACACCGAUGGCGAAGGCAGAUCUCUGGGCCGUAACUGACGCUGAGGAGCGAAAGGGUGGGGAGCAAACAGGCUUAGAUAACCUGGUAGUCCACCCCGUAAACGUUGGGAACUAGUUGUGGGGACCAUUCCACGGUUUCCGUGACGCAGCUAACGCAUUAAGUUCCCCGCCUGGGGAGUACGGCCGCAAGGGUAAAACUCAAAGGAAUUGACGGGGAGCCGCACAAGAGGCGGAGCAUGCGGAUUAAUUCGAUGCAACGCGAAGAACCUUACCAAGGCUUGACAUACACCAGAACGGGCCAGAAAUGGUCAACUCUUUGGACACUGGUGAACAGCUGGUGCAUGGUGGUCGUCAGCUCGUGUCGUGAGAUGUUGGGUUAAGUCCCGCAACGAGCGCAACCCUCCUUCUAUGUUGCCAGCACGUAAUGGUGGGAACUCAUGGGAUACUGCCGGGGUCAACUCGGAGGAAGGUGGGGAUGACGUCAAAUCAUCAUGCCCCUUAUGUCUUGGGCUUCACGCAUGCUACAAUGGCCGGUACAAAGGGCUGCAAUACCGUGAGGUGGAGCGAAUCCCAAAAAGCCGGUCCCAGUUCGGAUUGAGGUCUGCAACUCGACCUCAUGAAGUAGGAGUCGCUAGUAAUCGCAGAUCAGCAACGCUGCGGUGAAUACGUUCCCGGGUCUUGUACACACCGCCCGUCAAGUCAUGAAAGUCGGUAACACCUGAAGCCGGUGGCCCAACCCUUGUGGAGGGACGCCGUCGCAAGGUGGGAUCGGUAAUUAGGAGUAAGUCGUAACAAGUGCCCCGCC
Molecule: ribosomal RNA, 1123 nt
Filed under: Microbacterium sp.
Lineage: Bacteria; Bacillati; Actinomycetota; Actinomycetes; Micrococcales; Microbacteriaceae
Description: bacterial SSU rRNA
Rfam family: Bacterial small subunit ribosomal RNA
Source: RNAcentral